ACACACAGCUAACAAGAGAAAAGAACACAUUUAUGGAGCCAAAGUUUUAUGUGACACAGAAGACCCAGAGACCCAGGAAAACCUUUUUAUGCUUCGAUUAGAUGAAGCAUGGGCAGCUGUGUAGAAAUGGGAACAAUCCAGUGGGAAGGCUGAGGGGACAGACCCAGCGAGGCUGCCCAGAGCCUUCUCAGCACCCGCUGCAAAGCUCCUUCCUCCCUCCCAUGCGUGGGGGCAGGACCCUGGGAAGGAAGGCCUCCAAGGGAAGAGGGACAGAGUGACCUUCUAGGUUCUACGGCCUGCUUUGGGAGAGACGAGUUCUAUUUUCUAUGACUCACCAUGGGGAAAAGGAAUUCUGGUUUCCGUGAUUCACACGGGGGAGAAAAUGGGGCAGGAAAUAGAAGGGAAGGAGAAGGUCAGAGACGCUUUGCUUGUGAGGCCCUUAAUGGCCCCAGACCCAAGUACUCAGCACGCCAAGGUCACAUGUGGAGCCCCAGCAGCAAGCAGGAGGCACUCGGUGCCUGACGGAAUCGACACGCAAUCCUCCCCCAACAGAGACAACACCCCAGGCCUGAAAGCAGCUCCGUGUCCAGCCAUGAAACAUAAACAGGCAACAUGGAGGGAGAAGACAGCGAGGGUGAGGGUCAGCAGGAGCCACUGGCAGCAGGAACUCCGGGUGCUGGAAUUCCCAGACGAUAAACCAGCUGUGCUCGCUAUGUUUUUGGAAACAAAAGGCAAUCACAAAUAGAAAUGCUGGAAGAAGUGGGGUCAGCAGUAAUAAUAUUUCUGAAAUCACCAAAAUUCUGCCAGGAAAAGAUCUGGAGAGCCUGCGAGGCCAAGGCUAAGAUCUCCAGUGAGGGUGAGACUAAGCUGAGGACCCGCAGAUGACCGCUGCAAUGGCCGUCCGCGUCAGCCAGGACAGGCUGCGUUAGGCUGCAUAACAAAUGGCCCCACAUAAUGACAUCCCGUGCACGCUCCACCCCACCAAGGACUCUGCUCCCCACCCUCAUGCAGACGCCCAGAUGAAGUCGCACCUCGACAGGCGUCUCCAUGGCCACUGAGGCGAAAGAAGGAGCUCCACGGGAAGACUCAGCCCUGCUGUCUGCCCAGAGGGGAGCCGAAGGUAUCUAGUGAACAGCACUGAGGCACACCACAUCCAGGCACCUGCGAGGUACUUGGAAGCCUGCCCUUCCUGCAAGCAAAGCACGCCCGCUUCCUCCAAGGCAACCAUCCCGGCAUCCUCCAGCUACGUGAAGGUCAAACGUACACAAGUUGCCGCAUCCAUCCCAAGCUGGAGGGCUCUGAGUUAAAAAGAUGAAGCGUUUGCUGCCCACGCCCCUGGUGUCGCAGGCGUCCUUGUGAAGAGACCACCAACCAGGCUUUGUGUGAUCAAUAAAGCUUUUUAAUCACC
RNAcentral lists this long non-coding RNA (1408 nucleotides) under Macaca mulatta (Rhesus monkey). RNAcentral's name for it is "lncRNA (ENSMMUG00000041230.2)". The record is from RNAcentral. Lineage: Eukaryota; Metazoa; Chordata; Mammalia; Primates; Cercopithecidae.